Molecule: long non-coding RNA, 838 nt
Filed under: Pongo abelii (Sumatran orangutan)
Lineage: Eukaryota; Metazoa; Chordata; Mammalia; Primates; Hominidae
Description: lincRNA
Source: RNAcentral
UGGCCUCGCCCCAGCCUCUCUUGUACUGCCUUUGGCCAAUAAUAAUUCAUCAAGCAUUUGUUUGCCAUGAGCCUAUGAGACAGGAUCGUCUGCCCAAGUGGAAUCAGAAGCAUUUCACCUAAGAAUUGGGAAGAAUUUCAUGUCUGCUUGAAAAUAUGCUUUUCCAGGGCAGUUUUCCCUGCUCAUCUAUAAUUAUGGAAUUGAACAAUCCUGCUCUCUGACUCUGUCAAGCCGUGCUUCUAGGUAAAGGAGCUUGGUCACACUCAUUUGGUUACUGAUAUAGAAACUCAAAUCUGGAAGCAACUGUGCUGGAAAAGGGUAGUGCGAGAAAGGGUCUUUACAGAUGAAAUUCAUAAGAUAAGAUGAAGUCAUGCUGGAUUAGGGUGGGCCUAAUAACCGGUGCCGUUAUAAGAAGAGGACAGGAUCCACAGAGAAUCCCUAGAGCAGAAGGCCAUCUAAAGGCAGAAGCAGAGACUGGAGUAAUACGCCCACCAGGGAAGGUAGGUUUGCCAGAGAAAAUCGCAUGCCGACCUCACCUUGUCCGUGGACCAGCACACAAGCCAUGCCUGGACACCUCCCUCCACCAAGGCUGCCAGUCAGGGGAUUUCAGCUUCUACUCAGCAGGGGGAAGAAAAAUGGACCAUGUUAGAACAAAUAACAUAGCGAUGAACUCUGUGGAUGGUGGAGUUGUUCUGUGUGCUCCAAUUCCUAUCGAGAUUGUGCCUAACUCAUCAUGAAUCUCAGCAGCAGCAGCAUGGACACUAUCACCAGCAGAAGCGUUUGCAAGUAUCCAAUUAUGGGUUAGAGACUCUGCAAGGAAAUUACAUUUACCCAGCAC